RNAcentral lists this ribosomal RNA (583 nucleotides) under Ceresium sinicum. RNAcentral describes it as "partial large subunit ribosomal RNA". The stretch from base 206 to 399 matches the Rfam family "Archaeal large subunit ribosomal RNA", at positions 1794 to 2108 of the family's 2987-position model. Lineage: Eukaryota; Metazoa; Arthropoda; Insecta; Coleoptera; Cerambycidae. The record is from RNAcentral.
UUCUCGAAUUUAGAAGAGUUAUUUAUUUUAUUGUUAUAAAUAUUUUUAAUAUGUAAUGAAAUGUUAAUAUAUCUAGUUUUUUAAGAAAGUUCAAUUUGUUUAUAUUUUAAGGGAUGAGCUUUAAAUAGGAUUAGAAUUUUUGUUAUAUUUUUUCUAUUAAAAUUAGUUUUUUAAUUUUUUUUGUAAAAAUGGUUAAAUUAGUAUAAGAUAAGAAAAAGGAAUUCGGCAAAUACUUUUCACCUGUUUAUUAAAAACAUGGCCUUUUGUUAAUAAUUUAAGGUCUGACCUGCCCGCUGAGGCCGCGGUAUUUUGACCGUGCAAAGGUAGCAUAAUAAUUAGUUUUUUAAUUGAAAGCUGGAAUGAAUGGUUGAAUGAAAAAGAAACUGUCUCUUUUUUAUAGAAUUUUAUUUUUGAGUAAAAAAGCUCAAAUUUUAUUAAAAGACGAGAAGACCCUUUAGAGUUUUAUUUUGAUUGGGGCGAUUGAAAAAUUAAUUAAACUUUUGAUUAUAAGAUAAAAUUACCUUAGGGAUAACAGCGUUAUUUUUCUUAGAGUUCUAAUCGAAAGAAGAGUUUGCGACCUCGA